ACGAGGCGGGGGGGGCAACCCCUCCAGUCGAGUGGCGGACGGGUGAGUAACACGUGGGUAACCUGCCCGGAUGUGGGGAAUACCUCGGGGAGACUCGAGCUAAUACCGCAUGACAUCUUCGGGACGAAGUCCUGACGAUCAAAGCGGGGUCGCAAGAUCUCGCGCUUCCGGAUGGGCCCGCGCCCGAUUAGCUAGUUGGCGAGGUAACGGCUCACCAAGGCGACGAUCGGUAGCCGGCCUGAGAGGGUGAUCGGCCACACCGGAACUGAGACACGGUCCGGACUCCUACGGGAGGCAGCAGUGGGGAAUCUUGCGCAAUGGGCGAAAGCCUGACGCAGCAACGCCGCGUGGAGGAUGAAGGCCCUUGGGUUGUAAACUCCUGUCGGCUGGGAAGAAAUCGUUCGGGGUUAAUACCCCCGGACGUUGACUGUACCAGCAAAGGAAGCCCCGGCUAACUCUGUGCCAGCAGCCGCGGUAAUACAGAGGGGGCUAGCGUUAUUCGGAAUUAUUGGGCGUAAAGGGCGCGUAGGCGGCCUCGCGUGUCUUCCGUGAAAUCCCUCGGCUUAACCGAGGACGUGCGGAAGAAACUGCAGGGCUCGAGUCCGGGAGAGGGGGGUGGAAUUCCCAGUGUAGCGGUGAAAUGCGUAGAUAUUGGGAGGAACACCGGUGGCGACGCGG
Molecule: ribosomal RNA, 678 nt
Filed under: uncultured bacterium
Lineage: Bacteria
Description: bacterial SSU rRNA
Rfam family: Bacterial small subunit ribosomal RNA
Source: RNAcentral